ACAUAGGAAUCUACCUCAAAGUCAUGGAUAAUCUGGAGAAAUCCAGGAUAAUACGUGAUGUGCUCUUCGGAGUAAAGGUUUACUGCUUUGAGAGGAGCCUGUGUCCUAUCAGCUUGUUGGUGAGGUAAAAGCUCACCAAGGCAAUGACGGGUAGGGGGUGUGAGAGCAUGGCCCCCAACAUUGGAACUGAGACACUGUCCAAACACCUACGGGUGGCUGCAGUCGAGAAUAUUCGGCAAUGGGCGAAAGCCUGACCGAGCGACGCCGCGUGCAGGAUGAAGGCCUUCGGGUUGUAAACUGCUUUUCUAUGGGAAAAAUUUCGAUGAUUGUACCAUAGGAAUAAGAGGUUACUAACUCUGUGCCAGCAGUAGCGGUAAUACAGAGACCUCAAGCGUUAUCCGGAUUUAUUGGGCGUAAAGCGCAGGUAGGUGGUUUUGUUAGUCGUAUGUCAAAGCUCCGGGCUCAACCUGGGAAAGGCAUGCGAAACGGCAAGACUCGAGAAUGUGAGAGAUUGGUGGAAUUCAUGGUGUAGUAGUGAAAUGCGUUGAUAUCAUGAGGAACACCCAAGGCGAAGGCAACCAAUUGGCACAUUUCUGACACUCAGCUGCGAAAGCGUGGGUAGCGAAUGGGAUUAGAUACCCCAGUAGUCCACGCCCUAAACGAUGCAUAUUAGGUGUGGGGAGAAUCGACCCUCUCCGUGCCGUAGCUAACGCGUUAAAUAUGCCGCCUGGGAAGUACGAGCGCAAGCUUAAAACUCAAAGGAAUAGACGGGGAUCCGCACAAGUGGUGGAGCAUGUGGUUUAAUUCGACGGUAAGCGAGGCACCUCACCAAGGUUUGAAAUCUAGCUGGAGAUCCUAGAAAUAGGAAGUCCUUCGAGGCCGCUAGACCAGGUGCUGCAUGGUUGUCGUCAGCUCGUGUCGUAAGAUGUUCCGUUCAGUCGGGAAACGAGCGCAACCCUCACAAAAUGUUACAUGUGUCAUUUUGGACUGCCCAGCCCAGCGCGCACGAAG
This 1011-nucleotide ribosomal RNA is filed under the name uncultured bacterium. RNAcentral's name for it is "bacterial SSU rRNA". It matches the Rfam family "Bacterial small subunit ribosomal RNA", at positions 115 to 1172 of the family's 1533-position model. The record is from RNAcentral.